This 1427-nucleotide ribosomal RNA is filed under the name metagenome. RNAcentral describes it as "bacterial SSU rRNA". It matches the Rfam family "Bacterial small subunit ribosomal RNA". The record is from RNAcentral.
AGCUUGCUGCUUCGCUGACGAGUGGCGGACGGGUGAGUAAUGUCUGGGAAGCUGCCUGAUGGAGGGGGAUAACUACUGGAAACGGUAGCUAAUACCGCAUAAUGUCGCAAGACCAAAGAGGGGGACCUUCGGGCCUCUUGCCAUCGGAUGUGCCCAGAUGGGAUUAGCUUGUUGGUGGGGUAACGGCUCACCAAGGCGACGAUCCCUAGCUGGUCUGAGAGGAUGACCAGCCACACUGGAACUGAGACACGGUCCAGACUCCUACGGGAGGCAGCAGUGGGGAAUAUUGCACAAUGGGCGCAAGCCUGAUGCAGCCAUGCCGCGUGUAUGAAGAAGGCCUUCGGGUUGUAAAGUACUUUCAGCGGGGAGGAAGGGAGUAAAGUUAAUACCUUUGCUCAUUGACGUUACCCGCAGAAGAAGCACCGGCUAACUCCGUGCCAGCAGCCGCGGUAAUACGGAGGGUGCAAGCGUUAAUCGGAAUUACUGGGCGUAAAGCGCACGCAGGCGGUUUGUUAAGUCAGAUGUGAAAUCCCCGGGCUCAACCUGGGAACUGCAUCUGAUACUGGCAAGCUUGAGUCUCGUAGAGGGGGGUAGAAUUCCAGGUGUAGCGGUGAAAUGCGUAGAGAUCUGGAGGAAUACCGGUGGCGAAGGCGGCCCCCUGGACGAAGACUGACGCUCAGGUGCGAAAGCGUGGGGAGCAAACAGGAUUAGAUACCCUGGUAGUCCACGCCGUAAACGAUGUCGACUUGGAGGUUGUGCCCUUGAGGCGUGGCUUCCGGAGCUAACGCGUUAAGUCGACCGCCUGGGGAGUACGGCCGCAAGGUUAAAACUCAAAUGAAUUGACGGGGGCCCGCACAAGCGGUGGAGCAUGUGGUUUAAUUCGAUGCAACGCGAAGAACCUUACCUGGUCUUGACAUCCACGGAAGUUUUCAGAGAUGAGAAUGUGCCUUCGGGAACCGUGAGACAGGUGCUGCAUGGCUGUCGUCAGCUCGUGUUGUGAAAUGUUGGGUUAAGUCCCGCAACGAGCGCAACCCUUAUCCUUUGUUGCCAGCGGUCCGGCCGGGAACUCAAAGGAGACUGCCAGUGAUAAACUGGAGGAAGGUGGGGAUGACGUCAAGUCAUCAUGGCCCUUACGACCAGGGCUACACACGUGCUACAAUGGCGCAUACAAAGAGAAGCGACCUCGCGAGAGCAAGCGGACCUCAUAAAGUGCGUCGUAGUCCGGAUUGGAGUCUGCAACUCGACUCCAUGAGGUCGGAAUCGCUAGUAAUCGUGGAUCAGAAUGCCACGGUGAAUACGUUCCCGGGCCUUGUACACACCGCCCGUCACACCAUGGGAGUGGGUUGCAAAAGAAGUAGGUAGCUUAACCUUCGGGAGGGCGCUUACCACUUUGUGAUUCAUGACUGGGGUGAAGUCGGAACAAGGUA